GAGGGGUACAGGAGUAGCAAUAUCGCUGAGACCGGCGCACGGGUGAGUAACGCGUAUGAACCUACCUUUAACUGGGGCAUAGCUCCGAGAAAUCGGGAUAAUACCCCAUAAUGUUACAAUUUCGCAUGUUAUUGUAACUAAAACUCCGGUGGUUAAAGAUGGGCAUGCGUGUCAUUAGCUUGUUGGUGAGGUAACGGCUCACCAAGGCUACGAUGACUAGGGGGUCUGAGAGGAUGAUCCCCCACACUGGUACUGAGACACGGACCAGACUCCUACGGGAGGCAGCAGUGAGGAAUAUUGGUCAAUGGGCGAAAGCCUGAACCAGCCAUGCCGCGUGCAGGAUGACAGCCCUAUGGGUCGUAAACUGCUUUUAUACGGGAAGAAACCCCUGAUCGUGAUCGGGGCUGACGGUACCGUAAGAAUAAGGAUCGGCUAACUCCGUGCCAGCAGCCGCGGUAAUACGGAGGAUCCUAGCGUUAUCCGGAUUUAUUGGGUUUAAAGGGUGCGUAGGCGGAAUAAUAAGUCAGUGGUGAAAUCCUGCAGCUUAACUGUAGAAUUGCCAUUGAUACUGUUAUUCUUGAAUGCAGUUGAGGUAGGCGGAAUGUGUAAUGUAGCGGUGAAAUGCUUAGAUAUUACCCAGAACACCGAUUGCGUAGGCAGCUUGCUAAACUGUGAUUGACGCUGAGGCACGAAAGCGUGGGUAGCAAACAGGAUUAGAUACCCUGGUAGUCCACGCCGUAAACGAUGAUUACUCGAUGUGUGCAAUAUUUCGUACGCGUCUGAGCGACAGGAUUAAGUAAUCCACCUGGGGAGUACGGCCGCAAGGUUGACACUCAAAGGAAUUGACG
This 848-nucleotide ribosomal RNA is filed under the name uncultured organism. RNAcentral describes it as "bacterial SSU rRNA". It matches the Rfam family "Bacterial small subunit ribosomal RNA", at positions 64 to 915 of the family's 1533-position model. The record is from RNAcentral.